This 68-nucleotide transfer RNA is filed under the name Pternistis bicalcaratus. RNAcentral describes it as "tRNA-Glu". It matches the Rfam family "tRNA". From Rfam's summary of the family: Transfer RNA (tRNA) molecules are approximately 80 nucleotides in length. Their secondary structure includes four short double-helical elements and three loops (D, anti-codon, and T loops). Further hydrogen bonds mediate the characteristic L-shaped molecular structure. tRNAs have two regions of fundamental functional importance: the anti-codon, which is responsible for specific mRNA codon recognition, and the 3' end, to which the tRNAs corresponding amino acid is attached (by aminoacyl-tRNA synthetases). tRNAs cope with the degeneracy of the genetic code in two manners: having more than one tRNA (with a specific anti-codon) for a particular amino acid; and 'wobble' base-pairing, i.e. permitting non-standard base-pairing at the 3rd anti-codon position. Lineage: Eukaryota; Metazoa; Chordata; Aves; Galliformes; Phasianidae. The record is from RNAcentral.
NNNCCUGUAGUUGAGAACAACAAUGGCUUUUCAAGCCGUAGUCCUUGGAGUAUGACCAAGCGGGAAUA